Molecule: long non-coding RNA, 1912 nt
Organism: Portunus trituberculatus (swimming crab)
Lineage: Eukaryota; Metazoa; Arthropoda; Malacostraca; Decapoda; Portunidae
Exons: 3
Source: RefSeq, a predicted model, not a curated record
UAAUGUGAAGCUUAUGAACAGUGUUAGGAAUCUCAGGGCAGUCCAUAGCUAGCCACCACAGUGAGAACAUCAACGAGUACUGCAGCUUCGGAUUGCUCUGCGCUAUCGAAGUGUCCAAGGCGAGGGAACUUGCAGGGAGAGGGUUGCUGUCCUGGAGUUGGGAAACUUUAGUCAACAUUUUCUACAGUCACAAGCGAUGUCGUCUUACCACUGUUAGCUCAUCUACACCCGAGCUGCCUCAGUAAGAACUCUCUACUUGACAGCAAUGGCUUUUAAAUGAGGCUUGAUCAUCUGGAAGAGUAGCUUGGUGAGGGGCGCAUAAAACCUCUCGGCCUCAACCUUGGAGAACCCAGCAGAGUCCAGGGCAGAAUGGAAGUCACGGUUGAGGCAGCAGCCAUCAAACAGGAAGGGCCAGAUGCCGCUGACAGACAGAAACUGCUGCAGGAUGCUUCUUAUCCAGUGCUUGUCGGGGUUGAACUCCUUGAUGUGCUCCAUAAUGUAAAGCUUGCCACCCUAAAAGAAACAUUGGUCAUGUCACAAACCAACCAAUGACAAACUUGCUUGCCUCACAUGUCCCAACCAAAAGUAACCUCAUCACACACUUAUUGCUGUAAGCAGUGAGUUGAUUCAACAAGCUAACUAAAUUUCUUGGUUAAUUUAACUAUAAAAUGUCGACUACUUGAUAAGUCCCAGAAUCUACAACUUGGCCCCCCUAUGUAAUUUGCAGAGGACUAUGCCUGAAACUAACACCAUUGAAAAGCAACCCAUAGAUUGAUCUAAUAAUAUUAAACAUCUUGCUAUAUCCCUCUUGUAAAUAAUGGCAAGAUAAUGUGGAUGAGGAUGACAGGUGGAAAUAGGAAGGAAUGUUUCAUGAUAAUGUGGAUGAGGAUGACAGGUGGAAAUAGGAAGGAAUGUUUCAUGCAGGGAGUGCCACGUGUAGACCUGACACCUUGAAGCUUCCCUUAUUUCUAUGAUCUUAAGCAUCUGUUAUGGGACUGAGGGGGUGCCAAGAAGAAAAGUGGUGAGUGUGUGGUGCCUUGUCUAGGCCUACUUCAUGUGGAAUUUCCAGCUUGGUAAAGAGAUAGACAGAUACAGUGCUUGCCAAUGCAUUAGUCAAGAACUGGCCACUGACUAAUGCAAUGGCAUGAAUCAGUUCAACCACCCUAACACAAGCCAGUCUGAGCUGAGGUGUGUCAUGUUUGUCUGACAUGUGAAAGGAGGAGACAGAGCAGGGAGUGUAAGGAAGGAGAACCCACCAAUUAGCAAUUACACUAUAGCCAAGCUUGUUGGAGGAUUUUCCGAGUUUUUUGCUCCUUCCUCCCCCUUUUCCUCUGUAUCCAGUUGCCUUUGUAUUUUCUGGUCUAGUGGCUAUAUGGAAAAGGGAAGGGACUUCAACACAUAAAAGAUUUUAUAAUAAGCCUGCACAAAGCAAGGAAUCCUACAAAAGUACCGUACUUGAUGGCUGAUAAGUUUUGGCAGACACUGAAAUGAAAAAAAAAAGUAAAUGAGCAUAUUUAAGCUCUGAAUGUGAACUGAAGGAUUUCACCUGACAUUUGAAGACACUCGCAUGCAUUUAGAUCACUAUUAGAUCCCACUUAAAAACUUUCAUAUUAGCUAGUAGCCUACAAACCAAUCUUGUGAGAUGUAAACAUGUACAGUACCUGGCAUAUGGCAUUGGCACUAAGUCAGAGAGAUUACAAGCUUAAUAAUCAUAAUUUUUCUUUUUUGUAUCAUUUUUUUUUAAUAUGGAUGCAAGAUAAGAAUGUUAAAAGAUAGUGCAGUUUCUUCCUGAAUGGUGUCACUUAUAUGAAUUACUGGUAUGUAUGACUUAUUACAUAUUGUUACCUUUAAAGAAAGACUUAUUUUGUGGUGUACUACCAAUCAUCACUUUGUUUACAUGUGUGACAAUGUC